This 775-nucleotide ribosomal RNA is filed under the name uncultured Neocallimastigales. Its description in RNAcentral is "partial large subunit ribosomal RNA". It matches the Rfam family "Eukaryotic large subunit ribosomal RNA", at positions 26 to 627 of the family's 3401-position model. The record is from RNAcentral. Lineage: Eukaryota; Fungi; Neocallimastigomycota; Neocallimastigomycetes; Neocallimastigales.
CGUCUAUAUACGUAUAGCAUAUCAAUAAGCGGAGGAAAAGAAACUAACUAGGAUUCCCUCAGUAACGGCGAGUGAAGCGGGAAGAGCUCAAAUUUGAAAUCUUCAAGGUUCUACCUUGACGAAUUGUAGUUUAAAUGAAGUGUUUUCUGUUGGAGUUUUGGUAAAAGUUCUUUGGAAUAGGACAUCAUAGAGGGUGAGAAUCCCGUAUUUGACCAUUAUUUCCAACUUUGUGAUACACUUUCAAAGAGUCGGAUUGUUUGGGAAUGCAGUCCAAAAUGGGUGGUAAAUUUCAUCUAAAGCUAAAUAUUGGCGAGAGACCGAUAGCGAACAAGUACCGUGAGGGAAAGAUGAAAAGAACUUUGAAAAGAGAGUUAAACAGUACGUGAAAUUGUCAAAAGGGAAGCGUUUGACACCAGUGUUGUUUUCUCGAAAAUCAAUUAAAAAUGGCAGGAUUUUGUGUUGUAUUGACUUUAUCAGCUUUCUGCACUUUUUUCUUGUCUUUUUUAAUGCACUUUUCGUUUAACAAGUCAACAUCAAUUUCUUUUGUUGUAAAAGGGUCAUUGGAAGGUGGCUUUCUUUUCGGAGAAAGUGUUUAUAGCCUUUGACUUCUGCAGUCGGAGAGAUUGAGGUCUGCAGCGUAGAUCCUUCGGGGUUAGAUACAUUUGUGCUAAGUUAUAGCCUUUCACAGACAACUUGUUGACUAUGAUCAGUCAUGUAGCUUACUCGCUUAUGUUAUUUUACCUACGCUUAGGAUGUUGACGAUCAGCUGAGCGCG